Ictalurus punctatus (channel catfish) is the source of this 1401-nucleotide long non-coding RNA. RefSeq lists it as uncharacterized. Lineage: Eukaryota; Metazoa; Chordata; Actinopteri; Siluriformes; Ictaluridae. The record is from RefSeq and is a predicted model, not a curated record. The transcript has 3 exons.
CCGGGUGGACACACGGAUGCAAGGCCGAAAUGAGAUAAAAUAAAUGGAUUCCAUUUAAAGGUGCACCUCUGGCAACAACAUGUGCAAAGUGCCAACCUUGAGAUGUUCCCACUCACAGAGGAGCGGCAAGAUCACCCUGCUGCACUGUGCGAGGUAAUAGGUAAACAUCUGUAAACUCUUGAGAAGUUGUCAUUUUAUUUCUCUUCAGCCUCCAUUGAAUGCCUUGACUGCUGUUGGAAAGGACAUGACUUUACAGGAGCAGGAGGAACUAACUGAACUGAAACAAGAUCGUGGUUUAAAGCUAAGAUUUGCUGAACUUCUUUUGGACAGUUUUUGGUUGACUGCUGCCAAGGAAUUCCCCAUUCCGGCCAACAAAGUUUUGACAUUGCUCCCAUUUUCCACAACAUAUGUGUGUGAGCUGAGCUUUUCAAGCCUAACUGCUAUAAAAACUAAAAACAGAGAGAGACUGAAAGCUGCUGAAGAGCUUCGUGUAUGCCUUUCUUCAAUUCCUGCCAGGAUAUCGGCUUUAUGUUCAUCUAAACAGGCCCAGGUUUCACACUGAGAAGCUGCCUUAAUCACGAUGUACCCAGGCUACGCAGGCAGGACCGAGCUCCGGGACAACCUGGAGGCCCGCUUCAGAUCCGUCUCCAUGAUUGUGCCCGACCACGCCGUCAUCGCAGAGGUGUGCUCGGGUGCCGUCAUUCAUUACAUUAUGUAAUGAACGCAAUAACGGAUGUAUUCUGGCGUGUUACAGAACCGUUUCACGUUGUCUUUUUUGCUGUAGGUGGACUUGUGAGCUGAGGGCUUCAAGUCCAGUGAGACUCUGGCGAAGAAGAUGAUUCAGCUGUAUAAGCUGUGCAGCAAGCAGCUUUCCCGGCAGGACUACUACGACUUCAGCAUGAGAGUCGUCAACUCUGUUAUCGUCAUGGCCGGGUCGCUGAUGCGAGAGAACCCACACCUGAGUGAGAACGUGGUGUUGAUUAGAGCGCUACGAUACUCCAACCUGCCCAAGUUACUCAAGGAUGACGCAGAACUUAAAAUAAAAUAAAUUGAUAAAUAGUAAAGAACGCCAAAGCUUACAUAUGGAGUAUCAAAGGUCAUUAUCACAGGAUCACUGGAAUCAGGCACUAGGAGGAAAUUCCAGGACAAAUUAGGAAAUACAAUUAACUGACAUUUGCAAAUUCUUUGCAACUAAAAAGCUGUAAUCAUAUACUAUAUAACUUUUUUUAAAGCAUUUAAAGUAUAUAACAUUAACACCUUGUAAUGUUAUACCAGAUGAAAGUAAAGAAUCCUGGAACAUCUGAACAUCCAUAAUCUGAAAAUCUUGAACCUAGUGUCAAUCGAGUCAAUCCAAUCUUUCUUGUGUGCGUUUAGCGGUAUUCUGUCGGACCUCUUUCCUGG